GUGGAUUAGAUACCCCAGUAGUCCACGCCGUAAACGAUGUAGACUAGCUAUCAGAAGUAUCGACCCUUCUUGUAGCGAAGCUAACGCGUUAAGUCUGCCGCCUGGGAAGUACGGUCGCAAGACUAAAACUCAAAGGAAUUGACGGGGACUCGCACAAGCGGUGGAGCAUGUGGUUUAAUUCGACGGUAAGCGAAGAACCUUACCAGGACUUGACAUCUCUAGGACCCGCCGGAAACGGUGGGGUGCCCGCAAGGGAACUAGAUGACAGGUGCUGCACGGCCGUCGACAACU
This 291-nucleotide ribosomal RNA is filed under the name uncultured bacterium. RNAcentral's name for it is "partial 16S ribosomal RNA". It matches the Rfam family "Bacterial small subunit ribosomal RNA", at positions 773 to 1060 of the family's 1533-position model. The record is from RNAcentral.